GGGGUUGUGGCUCAGCGGUAGAGCACUCACCUGGCAUGUGCAAGGUCCUGGGUUCGAUCCUCAGCACCACA
RNAcentral lists this transfer RNA (71 nucleotides) under Marmota monax (woodchuck). RNAcentral's name for it is "tRNA.Ala". It matches the Rfam family "tRNA". From Rfam's summary of the family: Transfer RNA (tRNA) molecules are approximately 80 nucleotides in length. Their secondary structure includes four short double-helical elements and three loops (D, anti-codon, and T loops). Lineage: Eukaryota; Metazoa; Chordata; Mammalia; Rodentia; Sciuridae. The record is from RNAcentral.